CAGGAGCGUGGAAGACUCCAGAAUCCACUCUGGCUGGAAUCCGGUGGAUACAGCAGUGUUACAGAACAGUUCUCCACAGUCACUGUCCACAUGGGUCAGUGGGACCAAGCAGCACUCUGCUAAUGUGCGGACUCUGACCAGCAACAUCCAGCAAGACCCAAGCAGCGUUUUCUAUCUCCCAGCUGGAGUUUGUUUGUCUGUGACUGGAGAGUCUGAUUUUUGUUGAAGCUGGAGGAACAGAGAGGUUAAUACACGCUACUGAUCCCUGAUUGGAGAAUUAUCACCUCUGCCAACAAAGAAGCCUGGUGGAUAUUUGUUUGCAGUCUGAUGAUGGGACAUCAUGCUGUGCAUCUUCAAAGUUUGUCUCUUGAUUAUUAUUCAUACACAGUAAUGUGAAGUAUGCUCAUAUCUGAGUCUGAAUGUUGGAUGUUGUGUAUCUCGUGUUCUCUGGGCUUUGUUGUCCUCAGUCUUUUUGCAGGAUCAGAAAACAAAACCAGGAUGACCAUAAAUGUUUCUUCUCCAAUUGGAUGAUGAUAAGACUGUGACACGGGAUGCCACCUUUAGUCUUGUGAUGAAGCAAAGCUCAGGAAGAAGUGUGAUUAAAUGGUACCCACAUGUGUGCUGCUGAGAAGGAUGUACAGGGGCACCUGCAGCCAAAUCCAAGCCUCCUCAGCAACUUCAGGUCUGUCAGCGUGCUGAGGUCACAGAAACAAGAAAAGAAGCUUGACUUCAGAGUGUUGUUUACAGUUUUCUGUCAUCAUGAUCUCCCCUGAAGUUUAUCAAGCAAGCAGAGCAGCAGUUUGUGCUCACAGAUGGUGACGGUGUGGAGAGACGGUGGUGUUUCCUCUGAAGAACUAGCAGAGUCACAAAGGGCACGAGUCCAUCUCACCACCUUGACUUGUUGAUCAGUGGAUACACUUGUCUCCCCUUUAAAGGAGAUACUCUUAGAGAGAGACGAUCUGAGUCAUCCUUAAAUAUGGGCAGGAUAUCACUAUUGGACUGUCUAACCUGCAGGAGCAGCACUGAAUGAUCACCACACAUGAUCAGUUCCUGCAACAUUCAGCAGCUCUGCUUUUGUGUCAAAUGUCCAGCAGCUGGAGAGGAAACUACACCAGUAUACUGGGAUGUUUCACCAACACGUGCCAGAUGCUGUUCCUUCAUGGUGACAUCACCAGAGACGGCCCCGCCCACCUCAGGACCUCGCCAUUGAUCAUGAUGAUUUUAAUGAUGACAGCAAGCGGAACUAAGACUGUAAAAAUCAGAAUGUUUAGAUGCUUUCUAAUUAUUCAUGAAUACUGAGAGCCUCUUUCUGUGUUUUGUCUGUUUUGGGUUGGGUUUUUUUUUUUUACCUCAUUUGUUACUAACAAAGUUCAACAAACUCACACAGUUUACAUUCUGUAUGUUUCCAUCUUUACCAGCCACAGUCUACCCGCAAUUAAGAAAAUAAUCCUUAGAAAUCAUCGUUUUUCUCUUUUGUAAUUGAUGAUAAUUCAGUGAAUAUACUGCGCUGCUUCCUUUUAUUGCGUCACACAUUGCUUUAAGUUUUUCAGUGUGCAGUUAUUUUUUACUGUUGUUUGAAUUCUCUGUAUGUUUGACCCUGUAGACUGUUUGAUGGACUGCUUGUCUUCCUGUUUGUAACCGCUGCCUGUUUUUGACUAAAGAUUUGGAUUUCUGACUUUAACACAGCCUCUGCGUGUCCUCCCUUUGUGUCCUCUUCCUCUGUGAAUGUGUUGCAUGUGUCACAGAUUCAUUUUAUUAACAGCUUUCCCACAGUCAGUUGCAUCAGCAUUCAUUCACAGCACAUUUCAGAAGGAUUCAGAUUAAUACAGUGAUCUUACAGUCAGAAUUAUCCUGACAGACUGCCACUGUAAAUUAUCUUUCAUCAGGUCAAUUUUAAAGUUCAGUAUUUCAAAGCAGGAGUUAUGAAGAAUCAUACUGGCAUUAGGACUGUAACAAUAUGUACUUACAAAGUCAAAGUUUUUUUUAAUUAUGCUAGAAUAUUGGAAGACAAUCAGCUUUUAGUGUUUUCUGCAUAUUAAUUAUACUGAAAUAGAGAUGGUGACCCUAACUGUACAGAAGCACUAAACAACUGACAAUCUAACAAACAUUAUUGGCCUGAGCCGUCAUGCACAGUGAGUCUGAUCCUGUGCUGUGA
Molecule: long non-coding RNA, 2155 nt
Organism: Oreochromis niloticus (Nile tilapia)
Lineage: Eukaryota; Metazoa; Chordata; Actinopteri; Cichliformes; Cichlidae
Exons: 7
Source: RefSeq, a predicted model, not a curated record